Molecule: ribosomal RNA, 583 nt
Filed under: Colletotrichum acutatum
Lineage: Eukaryota; Fungi; Ascomycota; Sordariomycetes; Glomerellales; Glomerellaceae
Description: LSU rRNA
Rfam family: Eukaryotic large subunit ribosomal RNA
Source: RNAcentral
GUUGACCUCGGAUCAGGUAGGAAUACCCGCUGAACUUAAGCAUAUCAAUAAGCGGAGGAAAAGAAACCAACAGGGAUUGCCCCAGUAACGGCGAGUGAAGCGGCAACAGCUCAAAUUUGAAAUCUGGCCCCAGGCCCGAGUUGUAAUUUGCAGAGGAUGCUUUUGGCGCGGUGCCUUCCGAGUUCCCUGGAACGGGACGCCAUAGAGGGUGAGAGCCCCGUACGGUUGGACACCAAGCCUUUGUAAAGCUCCUUCGACGAGUCGAGUAGUUUGGGAAUGCUGCUCUAAAUGGGAGGUACAUUUCUUCUAAAGCUAAAUAUUGGCCAGAGACCGAUAGCGCACAAGUAGAGUGAUCGAAAGAUGAAAAGCACUUUGAAAAGAGGGUUAAACAGCACGUGAAAUUGUUAAAAGGGAAGCGCUUGUGACCAGACUUGCGUCCGGUGAAUCACCCAGCUCUCGCGGCUGGGGCACUUCGCCGGCACAGGCCAGCAUCAGCUUGCCGUCGGGGACAAAAGCUUCAGGAACGUGGCUCCUCUCGGGGAGUGUUAUAGCCUGUUGCAUAAUACCCUUCGGCGGGCUGAGG